This 665-nucleotide ribosomal RNA is filed under the name uncultured bacterium. RNAcentral's name for it is "bacterial SSU rRNA". It matches the Rfam family "Bacterial small subunit ribosomal RNA", at positions 70 to 731 of the family's 1533-position model. The record is from RNAcentral.
CACGAAUAAGCUUGCUUAUUUGGUGGCGACCGGCGCACGGGUGCGUAACGCGUAUGCAACCUACCCUGUACUGGGGGAUAGCCCGGAGAAAUUCGGAUUAAGACCCCAUAGUAUUGUAAUUUCGCAUGAUAUUACAAUUAAAGGUUACGGUACAGGAUGGGCAUGCGUCCUAUUAGCUAGAUGGUAAGGUAACGGCUUACCAUGGCUACGAUAGGUAGGGGGCCUGAGAGGGUGAUCCCCCACACUGGUACUGAGACACGGACCAGACUCCUACGGGAGGCAGCAGUGAGGAAUAUUGGACAAUGGACGCAAGUCUGAUCCAGCCAUGCCGCGUGCAGGAAGAAUGCCCUAUGGGUUGUAAACUGCUUUUAUUUGGGAAUAAACCCUUGGACGUGUCCGAGGCUGAAUGUACCAAAUGAAUAAGCACCGGCUAACUCCGUGCCAGCAGCCGCGGUAAUACGGAGGGUGCAAGCGUUAUCCGGAAUCAUUGGGUUUAAAGGGUCCGCAGGCGGUCCUAUAAGUCAGUGGUGAAAUCUCUCGGCUUAACCGAGAAACUGCCAUUGAUACUGUAGGACUUGAAUUCGGUCGAAGUGGGCGGAAUAUGUCAUGUAGCGGUGAAAUGCUUAGAUAUGACAUAGAACACCGAUAGCGAAGGCAGCUCACUA